CAAACACACUAUGUAGGGUUCCAACCCCACCCGCCCCUCUGGUCCUCGGCCGCCGCUCGCCAUCCUCGGCACCACCUCGCAAUCGCGCUCGCCCACUCGUGCUCCUCCACCGAUCGCUGCAGCCCGUUGCCCCGACGACCUCAUCUGCGGCCCUCCCGGACGUGGACCAGGGACUCAACUGCGCAGCCGCAAUGGACCCUCACAUCGGCCAGAUCCGAGCACCUUCGGCGCCGCCUUCACAUGUCUCCGUCACUUCCACGAGAACUACUGGUUCCGCCUGCUGGGUCCUGUCCCCGCCGUGGGUGUCGUUCUUCAUGUUGUCCCGGUUUGGUCGGCCGCAUGGGAAGAGGAAGAGGAAGGAGAGGGCAACACAGCCCAAACUCACAACGGACCGCCUCUCCAAUGACGACGUGGGCUUCUACCUCCCCCUUAUUUGUUCUUAGCGUGAUUUCAUUCUUCAGCAUCUGAAGUAGUAGACCAUUUAAUUAAUUGUUGCCGAUAGGCUAGCUCAUAUGUUCUGAUCUAAAGUGGUUUCACAUGUUUGUUCAUUGAUUGGGAAAUGAUAUUGUUUCUUCAUGAAGCAUCACAAGAAGGUUGAUUCUUCUCCGUAUGUUCAAAUCAAUUGUUGAUUGAUUAGCCAAGGUUGAUUUGGGUCGUCCAUGUCUGCAAGUGUUCAAUUGCAACCUUAAAACCAAUCACAAAGUUGAUUUGGUCCAUGUAUGACUUAAUUUUUUUUUCAGGUUUAGGUUAUUGAGAUUGUACAUCAGUAUGAUAUUUCUAUACAUGUUGAUUUGUUCAUUUGUUUAGAAGUAUAAGAGGUGCAGAGCACAGGAUUUGGAGGUAUGGAGUUUAUGAUACAGUGACAUAUUUUGUUUUGGUACUGAAUAUCAAAUUGUGUCUUUUCUAUUUAUGAACUCUUUGGAUAUGUUCUUUACUGGGCGGAUCCGUGCACUGCCGAGACCUCUCUAUCCAUUGUAGCUCAUACCAUUUGACAGUUGUUUAGAUAUUUUUUUCCAUGCCCGUUUUGUUGAUCAAAUUUCUGAUUUUAUAUUUAGGUAGGAGUAUUUUAUGAACUUACUCUUCUCCAUGGCGCGUCCACGAGGUCAGAAAUUUCAUGCUCCAAAUGUGUUUGGCGAGCAUAAGGUUAUUUGGUGAUUGCUUUUGUCAACUGCCGGUUAUGAGAUUUGUGUGCAUCAUGGUUUGUCGAUUCACGUAGUGCAGGUAGUAGCCAUUUAUUACAGAACAUGCUUCGCGAUGGAAGAGAAAGUAAUUUGUAUGUGUGAAUCAUGAAGCGGAUUGACGAGUUCACCGACGCGCAGGUAUGACUGCUUUAUGCAUUUUCAGAGGUUUGAUGCACGGGCUGCAAUGGUUUAAUAAAUUGAAUCUUCUAUCAUCCUAACAUUUGGUAGACGAUGAGGCAGGUCAAAUAGAUUAUUCUCACACUGCACACAUAAUAAAUUUUCAGAACCUUUUGUCCGGUCAAUGUUAUGACUAGAGUAGUUCAUCUAACUUUUUUCAUACGGCCUUAACCAGUUUCAGAGGUUGCGGCGCAAGCAUGUGGAAACAUAUGCAGUUGAUGAAAAGGCUAAUCUUCUUUCACAUGUUUUUGUGCCUUUUACCACUGCAAAUUUGUGUUCAAUUUGUUCAGUCUAGCUAUACCAAUUUGUUUAUGCAAUUAACUAUAAGAUUGUCUGGUAUUGAGGGUCCUUUAUAUAUUUAGAUGUCCCAACCACUUCAUACUUGCAUUACAAAGGUGCGCGUGUGAUAUUUGUGAUGUGUUUUACACUAAUUGAAUGCAAGUAAGGUGUGCUCUUCUCCUUUUCAAUUGCUCUUAUCUAUUUAGAUGUCCCAGCCACAGCCAGUUCACAGUUAUAUUACAAAGGUGUGCGUGUGAUAUUUGUUUUGUUUUUUUUUACACUGAUUGAAUGCAAGUAAGGUGUGUUCUCCUUCUUAUUGAACAAAUGAAAUUCACACUUGGAUGGAAGGAUUUGUGAUGUGCUUAGAUCGAUGAUAAGAUUCAGCAAUAAGCAUUUUUUUUGUAAAAAUACAUAUUAUGAUUUGGUUAGUUUAUCCGCACACCCACAUGCAUAGAAGUUAGGCCUGUUCUUUUUCUUCGCGUAAUUGUGUUAAGAACAGAGAAAACAUAACUUUGUAUACUGAUAGCUGUACAACAUAAUACAAGUACUUGUUGCUUGAGUAUUAUUGACAUUCCUCCUCUCUGACGUUGUCUCCAUCAUGACGCUCUAGACGACAGGUGCCUGAGAUGGUCCCAUCAGUAUAUAUGCAGCGAAAGUAUUUGCAGAAGUAGUGGCAUGUUUCAGUAAAGGCGGUCGACAAUUUGGCUUUUAUUCAAUUGGUAAUAGAAGCGUGCACAAAUGCGAGCAAGGCUGGGUCACCUGGGUGUCAUUCUGUAGUUUCGACUGUCUUAUAAAGUGCUAACCUGCCAUAAUACAAAGCGCUAGGUAUUUGUAUGAUUGAUCAGAAUAUUGAGCAGCAAAAGAGAGGAGAGAGAGGAGCUACCACGGUGGCCAGGUAAGUCGAAGAUGUAGUGGAAUGAGAUAGAAUAAGCGUGCACUCUACAAGCUUAUCACGCCAUGCUAUUUGGAUAAGUCACAUAGCAUAAUUAGGAUACGAGAUACAACAAAAUAUUUGAGGGAUUGCAAGGUGCUAUAGGACUCGAACAUCAAUGGCGCUGAUCAUUUCAAACUUAGGCUUUAUGAUCAAAUGGCAAGCAUAGGGAGCUCUCAUCAUGGGAAUCAUAUUUGAAGCGGCCUGAGGCAGUGUGUUUAGUCUCCAUAUCUCUACAUCGCUACAGGAUAUUCACAUAAUGGAGACAUUGCUGGAGAAUGGUGAGCCACCCUUUCGCUGCUGGUGUCAAUGAUGUCCAAUUUAUAGUUCUCUUUCCAGAAACAAAGAAAUUCAGAUGAGUAGUGAAUUCAUUGCAGACAUACAAGGUGCAUCAGCUGACACAAAAUUCAUUUUGUAGCAGCUUGCAAGUGACUCAAGGUUUGGCAAUAAAAACAUAGGGCACACAAUAUUGAUCAAUGCCUUUAUUCAUAUGGUCCCGUAGCAACGCACGGGCAUUGUCCUAGUAUUAAACAAGAAAACAUGUUUCAGGACGGACGAAAACUCUCGCGUUUGCACGCCCGCAUAGCGGAAACAACCGCAUCCUCGAUCAGCUCCUUAAUUUUCGGGCCGAUUCCAAGUGAAUCGUGCCUCCCCGAUCCUUCUUUCUCUUCCCAGAUCGAGAAAAACGGCGCCGCCGCUCCUCGCUUCUCCUCCUUCUGUGCACUUCCCCCCGAUCCACCCGAGUCGACCCUGCCUCCAGUCGUCGCUCGCGCUCCUGCAAGCCGCCGCCGACCUCAUCAGCCGGUCAACCGCGCCCAACGCCCUCCUUCAUUUUCUCCCCCUCUCCCCACUAAUCUCUCUUUGUUCCCAAACUACAGGACGCCAUGGCCACCGGGGGCAGGGGGACGCGGCCGCGAUGGCCCCGAGCUCGGCGGCAUGGAAGCCAUUGGAGGCACUAGCGAGGCCGAUGUCGGUGAGCCUAGCAGCGGCGGUCGGGUGCAUUGAGCGCAGGUCUUCCCCGCCACGGCGCCCUGAUGCUCUGCACCGCCAUCGUUGCCACCGGAUUCGGCAGGGAACAGACGGAUCCGUGGAGCCCGCAUCGUAUCCGCCGUCCCAGCUUCCCGUUGCUCCACCGGCGUCCUGGUCCGUCCUGGUCUUCGUCACCAGCCAAGAUCCCUUAGCACCGCCGCCCCGAACGAUCUCCAGCCGCCUCCACGCGCACGGGAUCGAGCAAGGCCGCGCCUGCGUCCCACGUCCGCUUCAUCCCAUGGGUCGUUAGCCUUCGCCUCGGCCCAGCUGCCUUGCGUCCAGCCUACAGCCGCCCUAAGGUGUAAUGUUGCUGUUGAUUAUUUAAGUGUAUUGUCAUAAGGUGUAAUGUUAUAGCAUAUUUACUUGGAGAAUCUCAUGCAUUCUUCAUUCGGUAUAUGUUUUUUCAACUUUUUCUGCUGACUAUAUCUGAAGGAGCAAUCCUCAUUUAGCAUUUGGAAGCCCAUGUUUCCGUCACCCCGGAUGUUGACGGGCGGCAGCUCGAAGGACGUGUGGCCACGAUGAAAAUGGCGCAGCAACCGGCACAAGUGGCGGGAGCAGCGGUCAGGACCACGGGCAUGGCUGGGUAGUGACAUGUGCGUAAGCAAUGUCGAGCGUGGCGGAUGACGCCAAGAUGAGAUUCUCCAUAUCGUUAUUUCCUCUCUCUCUCUCUACCAAUCCUUCUUGCUUCCCCUCUGUCUCUCUCAAUGCCACUAUAUGCAGGUUCUGACAUGUGCUUUUGUUUGAUCCCGGCUUGAUUUUUUCUUUGGUAAGAUUCAAUGAUGGUUGAUGCAAGCCCAUGCUUCUCACAAGUUGGAUUGAAGUUUGUUGUUCCUCUAUUUGUACUAUUGUUUCCUUACCAAGUACUAUCAGUACUGGGGUAGAAAACACUUACCUAUUACAUAGUUCUUUGCUGACAGCCGAAUGUGAUGUUUGAACGGUUUCCCCUAUAUGCAGGAAGUACAAUUUGCAUGUAAUUUUUUACUUUUAGUUUCAGAUUAUCCCCUUUUCUGUGUGCAUUUACUAGAAGCUUAUAUGAAUCUGUGUCAUCUUUCAUCGAGUAAAAUGUAAGUCAGUUCAAGUUAACAUUGAGCAUUUUUCAGUUCUCUCUCUUGUUAGGCUAAUUUAGGUAGUUUUACUGGGCCAUGCAUACUUGCUUCAUGUCCUUUCUUUCAGACAUUUGGCAAAUUAAAUCAUCCAAUGUUUAGUUAUUUUCUCAUUAUAUUUUCCUGAAGGUGUCCAAAUACAAUCAAUUUACCCCCUGUAAGUGCACCCAAUUCGAUGUUUUUGUCAAUUGUAUUAUUUAGAAGGCGCAGAUUUCUAGCAACCAUAUAAUUUAGAAAUGGUAUGAUAUAUGUUGCCGUCUUGUGACCCCCAGUUGACAAGCAAUUUCAAGAAAAAACACCAUUUCACUUAGUUUGAUUAUCAUUUUGCAGGCCUGGUAUAGCAGAAUUAGAGUUGAAGCUCUCUGAGUAUACCAAAAAGAUGUCAUAUCUGCAACAGAUGGUUCAGGAGCUAGCCUCAAAGUAUGACUAUAAUCUGAAUGAAGACUAUGCCGAGACAGAGCUGAAGUUGAGGGAACAUUGCAAUCGUUUAUCGGAACAGUAAAAUCCUUCAAUAUGAUAUACAGUAAGGUGCAGGCCGGUCAAAUGAGGGCACGGGCGAAGAACAACAUGACCAAGAGACUGUCCCCAUUGGGCCACAAGGUGGAGGGGAAGCAUGCGAGGGUCGAGGCUGAGGUAGAACUGGCGGGCACUCUGGCUGGCGCGACAGGUGGAGCGCAUCCGGAAGACCGAGCGCAUGUCGUCCCGGUUCCGGUGCUGCAACUGGUUCAUGUGCUGAAAACCAAACAAAACUCAGAUGCGUCUGAAAUGCAACCUGACUGAAGAAGCCUCAAGGUCUCAGUGCAAGCUUCUGGGGCAAGAUGUACAUGAAAUUAUUUGAAUCAAUGUGCUGUAGGUGUUGCUUUACUCUAUAAUCUAUACAAUCUUAAUGGCUGUGACCUGAGAUUCAGUAGCAUGUUAUGAGCUAGCGGUAAUGGCCUGCUGACUAAUGUACUCGGAACUUUAAGUCAUCUUUUCUUUAAGCUUAGUGGUAAUUGUAGAAAAAAGAAAAACAUCAGGUAAUACUAUGAUCUUUUAUCUUCA
Triticum aestivum (bread wheat) is the source of this 5741-nucleotide long non-coding RNA. RefSeq lists it as uncharacterized. The transcript is spliced from 4 exons. The record is from RefSeq and is a predicted model, not a curated record. Lineage: Eukaryota; Viridiplantae; Streptophyta; Magnoliopsida; Poales; Poaceae.